UUUUAACCCAAAGUCCAGAAUGGUAUUGUCGAUGCAAAAAUGCAUUGAACAAGUAGCACCAGCGUAGUUGAACGAAAUUCACUUUCUAGGCACUUUUUCCUUUGUCCCAAUACAGCCUAUGACCUCGAGCGAAGUUUCUUUCACGGAGUUUCAGAUGCCGUGGACGUGGAUGCAUCGGCGAUGCUGGCUGAAGGGUUUGACUGACCCGCGGCUGCAUCACGUUCUUGUUUCUCAAACGCCUUUUGCAAAUAAAUCGCUGGUAGCAUGUCAUGUGAAACCCAGCGUCAUCAGGAACAUUGUCAAAGUCGAUAUCAACGCAAUGUUUAUAAGUUUCUGCAAGGUCCUUUGUCUCGCCCUGUAGAGAAAGCCACUUUCUAAUACUAGUUCUGUAAGUUUCCCAACACGUCCUUGUAAAGUCGAGAACGUCUUCACUCUGGACAGAUGAUAGAUGCAUAUAGCAUAGUUUCAUUCCUUUUUUAUACACUUUUGAAGGCUGUUUUUUUUUUCUUUCCUUUUCUUUUCUUCUUCUUCGCUUGUCUCGCUGCUAGAUGAGCUCGUCGCCAUGUUUGUUUAUUUCUGAUACUAUGGCAACGAGACUGUGCUCCUAUUGGUCCACGUGACAAAAAUCGCUUCACCCCUCUGCAUAUUCGAUUGUGCGUGUGCAAGUAUCAAUACACCGCAGAAAGGAAAUAGUUUGACACCGAAACACUGAUUACUAAAAAUCGACUGGAUGGCAUGAGUAGAUUUUUUUUUUAGUACUUACUAUCAAUAGAGCUGUUUUAUGAAUCACAGUUUAUGUUGCCCCACUGAAGUGGAACGAACCAACACGAUCUCACUCAGCCAAUACAGCCUAUUAU
This is a non-coding RNA of Xyrichtys novacula (pearly razorfish), 857 nucleotides long. The record is from the annotation of a GenBank genome assembly. NCBI's taxonomy places the organism in Eukaryota, Metazoa, Chordata, Actinopteri, Labriformes, Labridae.